UUGACUGCACUAGAAAUAGAGCCUAUUCAUCAACCGAACAAGUGCAUCCCAGGCAGGAAAGUAUACUUCCCCCCAACUUGCCGCCAGUGUGCCUCAAGGCAGUUUUGGUGGGACCACCACUAAGGUGACAGGGACGUUUAUUUUCCAUCUUCAAUCAAUUCUUGGCCUCU
This is an unclassified non-coding RNA of Chelonoidis abingdonii (Abingdon island giant tortoise), 170 nucleotides long. Lineage: Eukaryota; Metazoa; Chordata; Testudines; Testudinidae. The record is from Ensembl.